GCCUUCUCUGACACCUACUCCAAAAGGGAAUAUUUCUCUUGCUGAUUCUCCAGGAAUCUGCUCAAGGCUAUAAGGCGCAAAAGUUGUAGAGCCAAAUUGCUGGAUUUCUGCAAUUUGUCAAUCAACACAGUACUGACUAAUACAAGUUAUGAUCAUGGUCUGCUUUACAUCAUAACUAAUGGUGCUCAGGGAAGAAGGAAAAGGAGCACACCUGGCAGCAACAUCGACAGGACUGACUGAAUAUUUUACAAUGGAGUUGCAGAGUAUGUGCGUUCAAUCAUUUGGCUUCCCAGAAGAUUCAUUACAGUCACAUUAGAAAGUCAAAUCAGGCAAUUCUGCAGUCUGGUGAAAGCUAG
RNAcentral lists this long non-coding RNA (356 nucleotides) under Equus caballus (horse). Its description in RNAcentral is "lncRNA (ENSECAG00000057311.1)". The record is from RNAcentral. Lineage: Eukaryota; Metazoa; Chordata; Mammalia; Perissodactyla; Equidae.